AACUUUAACAACGGAUCUCUUGGCUCUAGCAUCGAUGAAGAACGCAGCGAAACGCGAUAUGUAGUGUGAAUUGCAGAAUUCAGUGAUCAUCGAAUCUUGAACGCACAUGGCGCCUUCCAGUAUCCUGGAGGCAUGCCUGUCCGAGCGUCGUUUCACCCUCGAGCCCCAGUGGCCCGGUGUGGGGAUCUACGUCUGUAGGCCCUUAAAGCAGUGGCGGACCCGCGUGCCCUUCCUUGCGUAGUAGUUACAGCUCGCAUCGGAGUCCCGCAGGCGCUUGCCUCUAAACCCCCUACAAGCCGCCUCGUGCGGCAACGGUUGACUCGGAUCAGGUAGGAAUACCCGCUGAACUUAAGCAUAUCAUAAGCGGAGGAAAAGAAACCAACAGGGAUUGCCUUAGUACGGCGAGUGAAGCGGCAACAGCUCAAAUUGAAAUCUGGCUCCUUCGGGUCCGAGUUGUAAUUUGCAGAGGAUGCUUCGAGUUAUGUUCCUUCCGAGUUCCCUGGAACGGGACGCCAUAGAGGGUGAGAGCCCGUCUGGUAGAAACCAUGCUCAUGUGAAGCUCCUCGACGAGUCGAGUAGUUUGGAAUGCUGCUCUAAGGGGGUAUACUCCUUCCAAGGCUAAUACCGGCUAGAGACCGAUAGCGCACAGUAGAGUGAUCGAAAGAUGAAAAGUACUUGAAAAGAGAGUCAACAGCACGUGAAAUUGUUAAAGGGAAGCGCUCGCUACCAGACGUGGGUUCGGUGGUCAACCAGGUCCAUGACCUGGGCACUCCGCCGGCCCAGGCCAGCAUCAGCUUCCGUCGGGGGCAAGGCGUCGGGAAUGUGGCUCUCCUUCGGGGAGUGUUAUAGCCCGUCGCGUCAUACCUUCGGGGGGCUGAGGUACGCGCUCCGCAAGGAUGCUGGCGUAAUGGUAGCUAGUGACCCGUCUGAAACACGGACCAAGGAGUCAACCUUAUGUGCGAGUGCCCGGGCGUAAACCCCAGCGCGGAAUGAAGUGAACGUAGGUGAGAGCUUCGGCGCAUCACCGACCGAUCCUGAUGUCCUCGGACGGAUUGAGUGAGAGCAUAUAGGGUUGGACCCGAAAGAAGAUGAACUAUGCGUGUGUAGGGUGAAGCCAGAGGAAACUCUGGUGGAGGCUCGCAGCGGUUCUGACGUGCAAAUCGAUCGUCAACAUGCGCAUGGGGCGAAAGACUAAUCGAAUCUUCUGGUAGCUGGUUCCGCCGAAGUUCCCUCAGGAUAGCAGUGUUGAUCCCAGUUUAUGAGGUAAAGCGAAUGAUUAGGGACUCGGGGCGCUAUUAGCCUUCAUCCAUUCUCAAACUUUAAAUAUGUAAGAAGUCCCGUUACUUUAUGAACGCGGACGCUGGAAUGAAACAACACUAGUGGGCCAUUUUGGUAAGCAGAACUGCGAUGCGGGAUGAACCGAACGCGAGGUUAAGGUGCCGGAGUGACGCUCAUCAGACACCACAAAAGGUGUUAGUACAUCUGACAGCAGGACGGUGGCCAUGGAAGUCGGAAUCCGCUAAGGACUGUGUAACAACUCACCUGCCGAAUGUACUAGCCCUGAAAUGGAUGGCGCUCAAGCGUCCCACCCAUACCUCGCCCUCGGCGCGGCUCGGCGCGUCGAGAGUAGGCGGACGUGGAGGUCGGUGACGAAGCUAGGACGUGAGUCCGGGUGGACGGCCUCUAGUGCAGAUCUUGGUGGUAGUAGCAAAUACUUCAUGAGACUUGAAGGACCGAAGUGGGGAAAGGUUCCAUGUGAACAGCGGUUGGACGUGGGUCAGUCGAUCCUAAGCUAUAGGGAAGUUCCGUUCAAAGGGGCGCUUUUGCCCGUAUAGCGAAAGGGAAGCUGGUUAAUAUCCAGCACCUGGAUGUGGGUUUGCGCGGCAACGCAACCGAACGCGAGACGACGGCGGGGGCCCCGGGAAGAGUUCUCUUUCUUCUUACGAUCUAUCACCCUGGAAUCGGUUUGUCCGGAGAUAGGGUUCAACGGUCGGAAGAGCCAGCGCUUCUGCUGGGUCCGGUGCGUCCUCGACGUCCCUGAAAAUCGCGGGAGGGAAUAAUUCUCACGCAGGUCGUACUCAUAACCGCAGCAGGUCUCCAAGGUGAACAGCUCUGGUUGAUAGAACAAUGUGGAUAAGGGAAGUCGGCAAACAGAUCCGUAACUUCGGAAAAGGAUUGGCUCUAAGGAUCGGGCGCGUUGGGCCUUGAAUAGACGGUUCGGCGGCGGGAGGUCACUAGCUGGGCACCAGCCGGAGCUCCCUGCUGCUUAGCUCGACGCUCUUGGCAGGCUUCGGCGUCCGGCGCGCGUUUAACGAUCAACUUAGAACUGGCGCGGACAGGGGGAAUCUGACUGUCUAAUUAAACAUAGCAUUGCGAUGGCCAGAAAGUGGUGUGACGCAAUGUGAUUUCUGCCCAGUGCUCUGAAUGUCAAGUGAAGUAAUUCACCAAGCGCGGGUAAACGGCGGGAGUACUAUGACUCUCUUAAGGUAGCCAAAUGCCUCGUCAUCUAUUAGUGACGCGCAUGAAUGGAUCACGAGAUUCCCACUGUCCUAUCUACUAUCUAGCGAAACCACAGCAAGGGAACGGGCUUGGCAGAAUCAGCGGGAAAGAAGACCCUGUUGAGCUUGACUCUAGUUUGACAUUGUGAAAAGACAUGGGAGGUGUAGAAUAGGUGGGAGCUCCGGCGCCAGUGAAUACCACUACUCCCAUUGUUUUUUACUUAUCCGGUGGAGCGGGGCUGGACUUACGUCCAACUUCUAGUGUUAAGGUCCUUCGCGGGCCGACCCGGGUCGGAGACAUUGUCAGGUGGGGAGUUUGGCUGGGCGGCACAUCUGUUAACCAUAACGCAGGUGUCCUAAGGGGGGCUCAUGGAGAACAGAAUCUCCAGUAGAACAAAAGGUAAAAGUCCCCUUGAUUUUGAUUUCAGUGUGAAUACAAACCAUGAAGUGUGGCCUAUCGAUCCUUUAGUCCCUCGGAGUUGAGGCUAGAGGUGCCAGAAAAGUUACACAGGGAUAACUGGCUUGUGCGGCCAAGCGUUCAUAGCGACGUCGCUUUUUGAUCCUUCGAUGUCGGCUCUUCCUAUCAUACCGAAGCAGAAUUCGGUAAGCGUUGGAUUGUUCACCCACUAAUAGGAACGUGAGCUGGGUUAGACCGUCGUGAGACAGGUUAGUUUUACCCUACUGAUGAUCUCGUCGCAAUGGUAAUUGAGCUUAGUACGAGAGGAACCGCUCAUUCAGAUAAUUGGUUUUGCGGCUGUCCGACCGGGCAGUGCCGCGAAGCUACCAUCUGCCGGAUAAUGGCUGAACGCCUCUAAGUCAGAAUCCGUGCCAGAAAGCGACGACGCCUCCCGCACGUAUAGAUGGACACGAAUAGGCCUCUGGCUUAGCGUCUUAGCAGGCAAAGAACGCCAACGCUCUGGAAACGGGUGUUGGUACUUUGCGAAUUGU
Molecule: ribosomal RNA, 3446 nt
Filed under: Verticillium dahliae VdLs.17
Lineage: Eukaryota; Fungi; Ascomycota; Sordariomycetes; Glomerellales; Plectosphaerellaceae
Description: Verticillium dahliae rRNA VDAG_20041
Rfam family: Eukaryotic large subunit ribosomal RNA (bases 316-3354)
Source: RNAcentral